This 249-nucleotide ribosomal RNA is filed under the name uncultured bacterium. Its description in RNAcentral is "partial 16S ribosomal RNA". It matches the Rfam family "Bacterial small subunit ribosomal RNA", at positions 57 to 305 of the family's 1533-position model. The record is from RNAcentral.
GCAAGUCGAGGGGUAACAUUGGAGCUUGCUUCAGAUGACGACCGGCGCACGGGUGCGUAACGCGUAUAGAAUCUACCUUACACUGAGGGAUAGCCUUUGGAAACGAAGAUUAAUACCUCAUAGUAUAUUAACUUGGCAUCAAGAUAAUAUUAAAGGUUACGGUGUAAGAUGACUAUGCGUUCUAUUAGCUAGAUGGUAAGGUAACGGCUUACCAUGGCAACGAUAGGUAGGGGCCCUGAGAGGGGGAUC